RNAcentral lists this ribosomal RNA (276 nucleotides) under uncultured bacterium. Its description in RNAcentral is "partial 16S ribosomal RNA". It matches the Rfam family "Bacterial small subunit ribosomal RNA", at positions 28 to 334 of the family's 1533-position model. The record is from RNAcentral.
GACGAACGCUGGCGGCGCGCCUAACACAUGCAAGUCGAACGAGCGAGAGAGAGCUUGCUUUCUCAAGCGAGUGGCGAACGGGUGAGUAACGCGUGAGGAACCUGCCUCAAAGAGGGGGACAACAGUUGGAAACGACUGCUAAUACCGCAUAAGCCCACAGCUCGGCAUCGAGCAGAGGGAAAAGGAGUGAUCCGCUUUGAGAUGGCCUACCAAGGCGUCGACGGGUAGCCGGCCUGAGAGGGUGACCGGCCACAUUGGGACUGAGAUACGGCCCAG